RNAcentral lists this ribosomal RNA (600 nucleotides) under Aeromicrobium halocynthiae. RNAcentral describes it as "bacterial SSU rRNA". It matches the Rfam family "Bacterial small subunit ribosomal RNA", at positions 84 to 698 of the family's 1533-position model. The record is from RNAcentral. Lineage: Bacteria; Bacillati; Actinomycetota; Actinomycetes; Propionibacteriales; Nocardioidaceae.
GGAGUACACGAGCGGCGAACGGGUGAGUAACACGUGAGCAACCUGCCCUUCUCAUCGGAAUAAGCGUUGGAAACGACGUCUAAUGCCGAAUACGACCUCAGAAGGCAUCUUCAGAGGUGGAAAGCUCCGGCGGAGAAGGAUGGGCUCGCGGCCUAUCAGCUUGUUGGUGGGGUAACGGCCCACCAAGGCGACGACGGGUAGCCGGCCUGAGAGGGUGACCGGCCACACUGGGACUGAGACACGGCCCAGACUCCUACGGGAGGCAGCAGUGGGGAAUAUUGGACAAUGGGCGAAAGCCUGAUCCAGCAACGCCGCGUGAGGGAUGACGGCCUUCGGGUUGUAAACCUCUUUCAGCACCGACGAAGCGAAAGUGACGGUAGGUGCAGAAGAAGGACCGGCCAACUACGUGCCAGCAGCCGCGGUAAUACGUAGGGUCCGAGCGUUGUCCGGAAUUAUUGGGCGUAAAGGGCUCGUAGGCGGUUUGUCGCGUCGGGAGUGAAAACUCAGGGCUCAACCCUGAGCGUGCUUCCGAUACGGGCAGACUAGAGGUAUGCAGGGGAGAACGGAAUUCCUGGUGUAGCGGUGGAAUGCGCAGAUAUC